UAGGUUCCGAACUUUCCGUUU
This 21-nucleotide non-coding RNA is filed under the name Caenorhabditis elegans. Lineage: Eukaryota; Metazoa; Nematoda; Chromadorea; Rhabditida; Rhabditidae. The record is from RNAcentral.